GUCAUUCUUACUAGAGAUAACCUUAUUAAGUGGAAUUGACAUGGAAGUAAGCAAUGUGUCUUUUGUCCGCAUGAUGAGACAAUAAAACAUUUGUUCUUCCAAUGUAAAUUGGCUCGUUCUAUAUGGUCAGUCAUUCAAAUAGCUUCUGGCUUGUAUCCUCCUUGUAGUGUUGCUAAUAUAUUUGGCAACUGGGUACAUGGGAUUGAUCACAGGUUUAGAAUUCUUCUCAGGGUGGGAGCACUUGCCGUGAUUUGGUCGCUUUAG
This 264-nucleotide ribosomal RNA is filed under the name Triticum aestivum (bread wheat). RNAcentral describes it as "partial small subunit ribosomal RNA". The record is from RNAcentral. Lineage: Eukaryota; Viridiplantae; Streptophyta; Magnoliopsida; Poales; Poaceae.